Molecule: ribosomal RNA, 253 nt
Filed under: uncultured bacterium
Lineage: Bacteria
Description: partial 16S ribosomal RNA
Rfam family: Bacterial small subunit ribosomal RNA
Source: RNAcentral
UACGUAGGGUGCAAGCGUUGUCCGGAAUUAUUGGGCGUAAAGAGCUCGUAGGCGGUUUGUCGCGUCUGCUGUGAAAACCCGAGGCUCAACCUCGGGCCUGCAGUGGGUACGGGCAGACUAGAGUGCGGUAGGGGAGAUUGGAAUUCCUGGUGUAGCGGUGGAAUGCGCAGAUAUCAGGAGGAACACCGAUGGCGAAGGCGGGUCUCUGGGCCGAUACUGACGCUGAGGCGCGAAAGCGUGGGGAGCAAACAGG